RNAcentral lists this unclassified non-coding RNA (260 nucleotides) under rhizosphere metagenome. RNAcentral's name for it is "partial ribosomal RNA internal transcribed spacer region". The record is from RNAcentral.
AAGGUCACCGGUUGCCCCCUUCCCCCGGGGCAAAUGCCCUGGGACUGGGGGACACGCUGCCCUCCCGCAGCCUUACGGGGCAAGGGAGUGGGGCCGGCUGAAUCCCACCCGUGUCUAUCUACUCUUGUUGCUUUGGCAGGCCGUGGUCUCCACUGUAGGCUCUGCCUGCACGUGCCUGCCAGAGGACCAAACUCUGAAUUUUAGUGAUGUCUGAGUACUAUAUAAUAGUUAAAACUUUCAACAACGGAUCUCUUGGUUCU